Molecule: non-coding RNA, 1086 nt
Filed under: Botryotrichum verrucosum
Lineage: Eukaryota; Fungi; Ascomycota; Sordariomycetes; Sordariales; Chaetomiaceae
Description: sequence contains 18S rRNA gene, ITS1, 5.8S rRNA gene, ITS2, 28S rRNA gene
Rfam family: Eukaryotic large subunit ribosomal RNA (bases 489-1086)
Source: RNAcentral
AUUACAGAGUUGCAAACUCCCUAAACCAUUGUGAACGUUACCUUCAAACCGUUGCUUCGGCGGGCGGCCCGGGUCCGCCCGGUGCCCCCUGGCCCCCUAGCGGGGCGCCCGCCGGAGGAAACCCAACUCUUGAUACAUUAUGGCCUCUCUGAGUCUUCUGUACUGAAUAAGUCAAAACUUUCAACAACGGAUCUCUUGGUUCUGGCAUCGAUGAAGAACGCAGCGAAAUGCGAUAAGUAAUGUGAAUUGCAGAAUUCAGUGAAUCAUCGAAUCUUUGAACGCACAUUGCGCCCGCCAGUAUUCUGGCGGGCAUGCCUGUUCGAGCGUCAUUUCAACCAUCAAGCCCCAGGCUUGUGUUGGGGACCUGCGGCUGCCGCAGGCCCUGAAAACCAGUGGCGGGCUCGCUGUCACACCGGGCGUAGUAGAUUUUAUCUCGCUCAGGGCGUGCUGCGGGUUCCGGCCGUUAAAAAGCCUUUUUUACCCAAGGUUGACCUCGGAUCAGGUAGGAAGACCCGCUGAACUUAAGCAUAUCAAUAAGCGGAGGAAAAGAAACCAACAGGGAUUGCCCCAGUAACGGCGAGUGAAGCGGCAACAGCUCAAAUUUGAAAUCUGGCUUCGGCCCGAGUUGUAAUUUGCAGAGGAAGCUUUAGGCGCGGCACCAUCUGAGUCCCCUGGAACGGGGCGCCACAGAGGGUGAGAGCCCCGUAUAGAUGGACGCCUAGCCUGUGUAAAGCUCCUUCGACGAGUCGAGUAGUUUGGGAAUGCUGCUCAAAAUGGGAGGUAAAUUUCUUCUAAAGCUAAAUACCGGCCAGAGACCGAUAGCGCACAAGUAGAGUGAUCGAAAGAUGAAAAGCACUUUGAAAAGAGGGUUAAAUAGCACGUGAAAUUGUUGAAAGGGAAGCGCUUGUGACCAGACUUGCGCCGGGCGGAUCAUCCGGUGUUCUCACCGGUGCACUCCGCCCGGCUCAGGCCAGCAUCGGUUCUCGUGGGGGGAUAAAGGCACCGGGAACGUAGCUCCUCCGGGAGUGUUAUAGCCCGGGGCGUAAUGCCCUCGCGGGGACCGAGGACCGCGCAUCUGCAAGGAUG